UUCAAUCAGUUUUGAUUGCUUGUUCCUCAACACACACACUUUAAGUCUCCAACAAUAGAAAUCAAUGACAUGAAGUGCAAAAAUCAGUAAAAUUAGUCCAUUGGUUGAGUCAUUUACAAAUAAAACAUGAUAUACAUCACAAAAUCAACACUCCAGAAUAGAGAAUACGGAGUUGAAAUCACAAAAUUACAAAAUUACAACUUCACAAAGAUUACAAAAAUAGCAUAACCAGUAGAUUUAUUGAAGAAUAGAAAUCAAACAGGGAAAUCACAACUUAUCGAAGAACAUAAAUCAAACCACCAUAGGAACCAAGCAUCCAAGCCAGUGUGAAAGGCACUUCCGAUGCAGGUAUGGAGGUGAACGACAUGGAAGCCACAAGAAUCAAAUCAAGCAUGGAGUUAAGGCAAUAUCUAGAGAUUAAAACCCAUCUAGCCUCCUCUUUUGAGCAACCCAGUUGGCAGUGGCCAUUAAUAUGGCGUUUAGAGAAAACAACUAAGAACCGAAAAUGAAGAAGAAGAAAAAGGGAAGGCAAGGAGGCAAAGGGGGAGAAAUGGAGGUGCAGGGGGAGAAAUAAAGGUGAGGCUCGUGGGUGAUGCUACGAUGGAUCUAAGUUUUGAGUAAAAAAAAACUAGAGAAGUGAGUGAUUUUAGGAAAGGUACAAAAUACAAGAAGCUAGUUCUCAGAGGGUAGCGGCGUAGGAAUAAGAAAGAUAGGCUUAGAGUUUCU
Molecule: unclassified non-coding RNA, 726 nt
Filed under: Hevea brasiliensis (rubber tree)
Lineage: Eukaryota; Viridiplantae; Streptophyta; Magnoliopsida; Malpighiales; Euphorbiaceae
Source: RNAcentral